This 253-nucleotide ribosomal RNA is filed under the name uncultured bacterium. RNAcentral's name for it is "partial 16S ribosomal RNA". It matches the Rfam family "Bacterial small subunit ribosomal RNA", at positions 524 to 776 of the family's 1533-position model. The record is from RNAcentral.
GACAGAGGGUGCAAACGUUGUUCGGAAUUACUGGGCGUAAAGCGCGUGUAGGCGGCCCUGUAAGUCGGGUGUGAAAUCCCACGGCUCAACCGUGGAAGUGCAUUCGAAACUACAGGGCUAGAGUUCUGGAGAGGAAGGUGGAAUGCUUGGUGUAGAGGUGAAAUUCGUAGAUAUCAAGCGGAACACCGGUGGCGAAGGCGGCCAACUGGACGAUUACUGACGCUGAGACUCGAAAGCGUGGGGAGCAAACAGG